CUGCAGUGCAAAGGCCGAAACAAGGCAAAGCGAUUUCCACUUGGAAGAAAGAUUCACAUCAAAUUGACUGGUCAAGGAAAUGGGACACUGACUAACCACACGAUGAGACUGUUUUGAUGAGGAAUUUAAAGAUUAUGUGUCCCAUCCGUUUGACUCACAGUUUGGUACCAUAGUUUGGUACGAUCUUCGUUCGAGAAGGAAAAGGGAUGUUCCAGAUACAGAAAAUCGUCAAACCAUUUACUACAAAGUCCGUUUCUGGGUGGAGUUAGUGGAACCGACAAAGAUGUCUCCCUCACAGCGUUUGUGACAAAAGAAUUGCAUCGUUCCUUGGCGGCCUUUCAACAGAAGAAUAUUCAGAGAUUUCCCGAGUGGACACAAUCAUCGCCUUGGAAGCUUCAUCACGAUACUACUUUGCAUUUCUGAAGAGGGAAGAAGAAAUCAAUAUGCAAAUUCAAUUCCAUGGUUUUGGAAGUCCCAUGUGAGAACACGAUUCAUUUGCGCCGGCAUAAUGCUCUGACCGAGAAAGAAUUGAAGUUUCCACUUGGAAGAAAGAUUCACAUCAAAUUGACUGGUCAAGGAAAUGGGACACUGACUAACCUUACGAUGAGACUGUUUUGAUGAGGAAUUUAAAGAUUAUGUGUCCCAUCCAUUUGACGCACAGUUUGGUACCAUAGGUUGGUACGAUCUUCGUUCAUGAAGGAAAAGGGAUGUUCCAGAUACAGAAAAUCGUCAAACCAUUUACGACAAAGUCCGUUUCUGGGUGGAGUUAGUGGAACCGACAAAGAUGUCUCCCUCACAGCGUUUGUGACAAAAGAAUUGCAUCGUUCCUUGGCGGCCUUUCAACAGAAGAACAUUCAGAGAUUUCACGAGCGGACACAAUCAUCGCCUUGGAAGCUUCAUCAUGAUACUACUUUGCAUUUUUGAAGAGGGAAGAAGAAAUCAACAUGCAAAUUCAAUUCCAUGGUUUUGGAAGUCCCAUUGAGAACACGAUUCAUUUGCGCCAGCACAAUGC
This is a long non-coding RNA of Stegostoma tigrinum, 1012 nucleotides long. RefSeq lists it as uncharacterized. The record is from RefSeq and is a predicted model, not a curated record. The transcript has 9 exons. NCBI's taxonomy places the organism in Eukaryota, Metazoa, Chordata, Chondrichthyes, Orectolobiformes, Stegostomatidae.